Molecule: ribosomal RNA, 377 nt
Filed under: uncultured bacterium
Lineage: Bacteria
Description: bacterial SSU rRNA
Rfam family: Bacterial small subunit ribosomal RNA
Source: RNAcentral
GUACGUAGGUGGCGAGCGUUGUCCGGAAUUACUGGGUGUAAAGGGCGUGUAGGCGGAGACUUAAGUCAGAUGUGAAAUUCCCGGGCUCAACUCGGGCGCUGCAUUUGAAACUGUGUUUCUUGAGUGAUGGAGAGGAAAGCGGAAUUCCUAGUGUAGCGGUGAAAUGCGUAGAUAUUAGGAGGAACACCAGUGGCGAAGGCGGCUUUCUGGACAUUAACUGACGCUGAGGCGCGAAAGCGUGGGGAGCAAACAGGAUUAGAUACCCUGGUAGUCCACGCCGUAAACGAUGAUUACUAGGUGUGGGAGGUAUCGACCCCUUCCGUGCCGGAGUUAACACAAUAAGUAAUCCACCUGGGGAGUACGGCCGCAAGGUUGAA